RNAcentral lists this ribosomal RNA (229 nucleotides) under uncultured bacterium. Its description in RNAcentral is "partial 16S ribosomal RNA". It matches the Rfam family "Bacterial small subunit ribosomal RNA", at positions 109 to 334 of the family's 1533-position model. The record is from RNAcentral.
AGUAAUGUCUGGGAAACUGCCCGAUGGAGGGGGAUAACACUUGGAAACAGGUGCUAAUACCGUAUAACAAUCGAAACCGCAUGGUUUCGGUUUGAAAGGCGCUUUUGCGUCACUGAUGGAUGGACCCGCGGUGCAUUAGCUAGUUGGUGAGGUAACGGCUCACCAAGGCAACGAUGCAUAGCCGACCUGAGAGGGUGAUCGGCCACAUUGGGACUGAGACACGGCCCAG